This 343-nucleotide unclassified non-coding RNA is filed under the name soil metagenome. RNAcentral describes it as "partial contains 5.8S ribosomal RNA, internal transcribed spacer 2, and large subunit ribosomal RNA". The stretch from base 1 to 120 matches the Rfam family "5.8S ribosomal RNA", at positions 35 to 154 of the family's 154-position model. The record is from RNAcentral.
GAUGAAGAACGCAGCGAAAUGCGAUAAGUAAUGUGAAUUGCAGAAUUCAGUGAAUCAUCGAAUCUUUGAACGCACAUUGCGCCCGCUAGUAUUCUGGCGGGCAUGCCUGUCCGAGCGUCAUUUCAACCCUCAAGCCCCCGGGCUUGGUGUUGGGGAUCGGCGAGCCUCCGCGCCCGCCGUCCCCUAAAUCUAGUGGCGGUCUCGCUGUAGCUUCCUCUGCGUAGUAGCACACCUCGCACCGGGAAACAGCGCGGCCACGCCGUUAAACCCCCAACUUCUGAACGUUUGACCUCGGAUCAGGUAGGAAUACCCGCUGAACUUAAGCAUAUCAAUAAGCGGAGGA